AACGAACGCUGGCGGCAUGCCUAACACAUGCAAGUCGAACGAGACCUUCGGGUCUAGUGGCGCACGGGUGCGUAACGCGUGGGAACCUGCCCUUAGGUUCGGAAUAACUCCCCGAAAGGGGUGCUAAUACCGGAUAAUGUCUUCGGACCAAAGAUUUAUCGCCUUUGGAUGGGCCCGCGUUGGAUUAGCUAGUUGGUAGGGUAAAAGCCUACCAAGGCGACGAUCCAUAGCUGGUCUGAAAGGAUGAUCAGCCACACUGGGACUGAGACACGGCCCAGACUCCUACGGGAGGCAGCAGUGGGGAAUAUUGGACAAUGGGCGAAAGCCUGAUCCAGCAAUGCCGCGUGAGUGAUGAAGGCCUUAGGGUUGUAAAGCUCUUUUACCCGGGAUGAUAAUGACAGUACCGGGAGAAUAAGCUCCGGCUAACUCCGU
Molecule: ribosomal RNA, 432 nt
Filed under: uncultured bacterium
Lineage: Bacteria
Description: partial 16S ribosomal RNA
Rfam family: Bacterial small subunit ribosomal RNA
Source: RNAcentral